RNAcentral lists this ribosomal RNA (504 nucleotides) under Veillonellaceae bacterium oral taxon 131. Its description in RNAcentral is "bacterial SSU rRNA". It matches the Rfam family "Bacterial small subunit ribosomal RNA", at positions 28 to 502 of the family's 1533-position model. The record is from RNAcentral. Lineage: Bacteria; Bacillati; Bacillota; Negativicutes; Veillonellales; Veillonellaceae.
GACGAACGCUGGCGGCGUGCUUAACACAUGCAAGUCGAACGAGACGGAUUGGGAGCUUGCUCCUGACAAGUCGAGUGGCAAACGGGUGAGUAACGCGUAGACAACCUGCCGCAAAGAUGGGGACAACAGCCCGAAAGGGCUGCUAAUACCGAAUGUUGCGCCCCUCCCGCAUGGGAGGGGCGCCAAAGAUGGCCUCUGCCUGCAAGCCAUCGCUUUGCGAUGGGUCUGCGCCUGAUUAGCCAGUUGGCGGGGCAACGGCCCACCAAGGCGACGAUCAGUAGCCGGUCUGAGAGGAUGGACGGCCACAUUGGGACUGAGACACGGCCCAGACUCCUACGGGAGGCAGCAGUGGGGAAUCUUCCGCAAUGGGCGAAAGCCUGACGGAGCAACGCCGCGUGGGUGAAGAAGGUCUUCGGAUCGUAAAGCCCUGUUGCCCGGGACGAACGCCCCCGGCGCGAACAGCGCCGGGGGGGACGGUACCGGGCGAGGAAGCCAGGCAUUUCU